GACGAACGCUGGCGGCGUGCCUAAUACAUGCAAGUCGAACGCAUUUUCUUUCACCGUAGCUUGCUACACCGAAAGAAAAUGAGUGGCGAACGGGUGAGUAGCACGUGGGUAACCUGCCCAUCAGCGGGGGAUAACACUUGGAAACAGGUGCUAAUACCGCAUAAUUCCAUUUACCGCAUGGUAGAUGGAUGAAAGGCGCUUUUGCGUCACUGAUGGAUGGACCCGCGGUGCAUUAGCUAGUUGGUGGGGUAACGGCCUACCAAGGCUGCGAUGCAUAGCCGACCUGAGAGGGUGAUCGGCCACACUGGGACUGAGACACGGCCCAGACUCCUACGGGAGGCAGCAGUAGGGAAUCUUCGGCAAUGGACACAAGUCUGACCGAGCAACGCCGCGGGAGUGAAGAAGGUUUUCGGAUCGUAAAACUCUGUUGUUAGAGAAGAACAAGGAUGAGAGUGGAAAGUUCAUCCCUUGACGGUAUCUAACCAGAAAGCCACGGCUAACUACGUG
RNAcentral lists this ribosomal RNA (507 nucleotides) under uncultured bacterium. RNAcentral's name for it is "partial 16S ribosomal RNA". It matches the Rfam family "Bacterial small subunit ribosomal RNA", at positions 28 to 507 of the family's 1533-position model. The record is from RNAcentral.